UUGAGGAGACAAAAUUGUCUAGCUUAUUUGGUGUUGUCAGUUGGACCUUUUUGGUCAGGUGGAAAGUGAAGUCUUGGACCUAGGACUAUAGAUUGUCGUAAGUGACUAUCCAUUGAUAGAGGUUUUGGCAGUCUAUGUGGUUACUGGUAGGAGACUGUGGUCUCCAAAGCGAGAGUUUUGACUCAGGUCUUAGAACAACGUUUCGUAUUCGCUCUUGGUGAGCAGGUUGACGUUGUUGGAUAGUCGGAGCUUUUCGUUUCAGUCCACGUAAAUAGACUCUAGAUUAAAAUGGUUGUCUCGUGACUUUUCUACGUGAACUUGCGAC
RNAcentral lists this long non-coding RNA (325 nucleotides) under Ananas comosus (pineapple). RNAcentral's name for it is "long non-coding RNA (ACOM_LNC040934)". Lineage: Eukaryota; Viridiplantae; Streptophyta; Magnoliopsida; Poales; Bromeliaceae. The record is from RNAcentral.